This 85-nucleotide transfer RNA is filed under the name Felis catus (domestic cat). It matches the Rfam family "tRNA". From Rfam's summary of the family: Transfer RNA (tRNA) molecules are approximately 80 nucleotides in length. Their secondary structure includes four short double-helical elements and three loops (D, anti-codon, and T loops). RNAcentral also lists the same sequence under 1 other name. The record is from Rfam by way of RNAcentral. Lineage: Eukaryota; Metazoa; Chordata; Mammalia; Carnivora; Felidae.
GCCUGGGUGGCUCAGUUGGUUAAGCGUCUGACUUCGGUUCAGGUCAUGAUCUCACAGUUUGUGAGUUCGAGUCCCGCAUCGGGCU